This 182-nucleotide non-coding RNA is filed under the name marine eukaryotic metagenome. RNAcentral's name for it is "6S / SsrS RNA". It matches the Rfam family "6S / SsrS RNA". Rfam says of the family: E. coli 6S RNA was the first non coding RNA to be sequenced, but its function was unknown until recently. It consists of 184 nucleotides that fold into an extended hairpin structure with a large single-stranded internal bulge. The record is from RNAcentral.
CCCUGCAUUGUACGAUGUUGGUUGAUACAGUCUCUCGGCCCUUAAGUUUAAAUAUUGGGAUUAUGUUCUGUGAAUUAGUCAUGAGCAUGCCUAUUCUAAAAUAGGUAGCCUUAAACUAUCACGACUUAUCCCACCUUCUGCUCAGGCCUGAGAGCAUAAAAUCACAACGGCUUUUGCGGGGA